This is a small nuclear RNA of Oryctolagus cuniculus (rabbit), 77 nucleotides long. Its record names the gene U2. It matches the Rfam family "U2 spliceosomal RNA". From Rfam's summary of the family: U2 is a small nuclear RNA (snRNA) component of the spliceosome (involved in pre-mRNA splicing). Complementary binding between U2 snRNA (in an area lying towards the 5' end but 3' to hairpin I) and the branchpoint sequence (BPS) of the intron results the bulging out of an unpaired adenosine, on the BPS, which initiates a nucleophilic attack at the intronic 5' splice site, thus starting the first of two transesterification reactions that mediate splicing. NCBI's taxonomy places the organism in Eukaryota, Metazoa, Chordata, Mammalia, Lagomorpha, Leporidae. The record is from Ensembl.
AUCACUUCUUGGCCUUUUGGCUAAGAUCAAGUGUAGUAUCUUUUGGCUCUUGGAAAUGAUAGCUGAUUGCUCUCUCU